This 259-nucleotide long non-coding RNA is filed under the name Elaeis guineensis (African oil palm). RNAcentral describes it as "long non-coding RNA (EGUI_LNC048913)". Lineage: Eukaryota; Viridiplantae; Streptophyta; Magnoliopsida; Arecales; Arecaceae. The record is from RNAcentral.
GAAUGACAAUUCCAUCAGUCGAUAAGCACCAGGCCUUUGGGCCUCCAAUGAUUAUCCAACUGAUGGACCCAUUAUCAUCCACUUAAUGAGAGGCUAUGAUCUAGUUAUCACCAUAACUAUUUCAUUUUAAGGACCUAAUAAUUUUAGAAGAUUUAAUUGAUUUAGAGGAGGAGGUCAGAUGAACCAGCUUAUCAUGAUCCUCCCACUGGCUUCACUAAGUUAGCUUAAGGGAGACCAUUAAAAGGGUUGGUCUAGGAGC